Molecule: small nucleolar RNA, 139 nt
Organism: Panicum virgatum (switchgrass)
Lineage: Eukaryota; Viridiplantae; Streptophyta; Magnoliopsida; Poales; Poaceae
Product: small nucleolar RNA Z247
Exons: 1
Source: RefSeq, a predicted model, not a curated record
CCUCUAGGUGAAGAUGAACUUGUGUCCUAUGUUCUCACCGGCCUUGAUGCAGAUUACACGCCCAUCGUCGCCUCCCUCACUUCUCGACGUGAGCCGGUAACCUACAAUGAACUCUUGUCUCAGAUUCAGAGUUUUGAGA